AGUGAACGCUGGCGGUAGGCCUAACACAUGCAAGUCGAACGGCAGCACAGUAAGAGCUUGCUCUUACGGGUGGCGAGUGGCGGACGGGUGAGGAAUACAUCGGAAUCUACUUUUUCGUGGGGGAUAACGUAGGGAAACUAACGCUAAUACCGCAUACGACCUACGGGUGAAAGCAGGGGAUCUUCGGACCUUGCGCGAUUGAAUGAGCGGAUGUCGGAUUAGCUAGUUGGCGGGGUAAAGGCCCACCAAGGCGACGAUCCGUAGCUGGUCUGAGAGGAUGAUCAGCCACACUGGAACUGAGACACGGUCCAGACUCCUACGGGAGGCAGCAGUGGGGAAUAUUGGACAAUGGGCGCAAGCCUGAUCCAGCCAUACCGCGUGGGUGAAGAAGGCCUUCGGGUUGUAAAGCCCUUUUGUUGGGAAAGAAAAGCAGCAGGUUAAUACCCCGCUGUUCUGACGGUACCCAAAGAAUAAGCACCGGCUAACUUCGUG
Molecule: ribosomal RNA, 492 nt
Filed under: uncultured bacterium
Lineage: Bacteria
Description: partial 16S ribosomal RNA
Rfam family: Bacterial small subunit ribosomal RNA
Source: RNAcentral